This 147-nucleotide unclassified non-coding RNA is filed under the name soil metagenome. Its description in RNAcentral is "partial internal transcribed spacer 1". The record is from RNAcentral.
CCGAGUUUACAACUCCCAAGCCCCUGUGAACAUACCACUUGUUGCCUCGGCGGAUCAGCCCGCUCCCGGUAAAACGGGACGGCCCGCCAGAGGACCCCUAAACUCUGUUUCUAUAUGUAACUUCUGAGUAAAACCAUAAAUAAAUCA